UGGGGAAUAUCGCACAAUGGGCGAAAGCCUGAUGCAGCAACGCCGCGUGAGUGAUGAAGGCCUUCGGGUUGUAAAGCUCUGUCUUUUGGGACGAUAAUGACGGUACCAAAGGAGGAAGCCACGGCUAACUACGUGCCAGCAGCCGCGGUAAUACGUAGGUGGCAAGCGUUGUCCGGAUUUACUGGGCGUAAAGGAUGCGUAGGCGGAUUUUUAAGUGAGAUGUGAAAACCCUAAGCUUAACUUGGGGACUGCAUUUCAUACUGGAAAUCUAGAGUGCGGGAGAGGAGAAUGGAAUUCCUAGUGUAGCGGUGAAAUGCGUAGAGAUUAGGAAGAACACCAGUGGCGAAGGCGAUUCUCUAGACCGUAACUGACGCUGAGGCAUGAAAGCGUGGGUAGCAAACAGGAUUAGAUACCCUGGUAGUCCACGCCGUAAACGAUGAGUACUAGGUGUAGGAGGUAUCGACCCCUUCUGUGCCGCAGUUAACACAAUAAGUACUCUGCCUGGGGAAGUACGAUCGCAAGAUUAAAACUUAAAGGAAUUGACGGGGGUCAUAGCUGUUUUCCU
RNAcentral lists this ribosomal RNA (565 nucleotides) under uncultured bacterium. RNAcentral's name for it is "partial 16S ribosomal RNA". It matches the Rfam family "Bacterial small subunit ribosomal RNA", at positions 355 to 939 of the family's 1533-position model. The record is from RNAcentral.